RNAcentral lists this unclassified non-coding RNA (192 nucleotides) under uncultured Trechisporales. Its description in RNAcentral is "sequence contains ITS1". The record is from RNAcentral. Lineage: Eukaryota; Fungi; Basidiomycota; Agaricomycetes; Trechisporales.
ACGUAUCUGCCUCGGGGUGUGAGGGUGGCCUGGCUCCGGCGAAUUGCCGUGCAGCGGGUCCCCUCCCCUCGAACACUACAAACCCACUGUGCACCUUUCGCGGUGGAGGGUGUGGCGCAAGCCUGCCCGAAGCCGCGGUCUCACAGACUCGUCUCAGAAUGUCUUGCGGACUUGUUCCGCCCAUAAACGUAA